UACAUGGGGUGCAAGCGUUGCUCGGAAUUAUUGGGCGUAAAGCGCGCGUAGGCGGUUACUCAAGUCGGAUGUGAAAGCCCUCGGCUUAACUGAGGAAGUGCACCCGAAACUGAGUAGCUAGAGUACUAAAGAGGGUCGCGGAAUUCCCGGUGUAGAGGUGAAAUUCGUAGAUAUUAGGAAGAACGCCAGUGGCGAAGGCGGCUCACUGGCCCGGUACUGACGCUGAGGCGCGAAAGCGUGGGGAGCAAACAGG
This 253-nucleotide ribosomal RNA is filed under the name uncultured bacterium. Its description in RNAcentral is "partial 16S ribosomal RNA". It matches the Rfam family "Bacterial small subunit ribosomal RNA", at positions 524 to 776 of the family's 1533-position model. The record is from RNAcentral.